This 347-nucleotide ribosomal RNA is filed under the name uncultured Prevotella sp. Its description in RNAcentral is "bacterial SSU rRNA". It matches the Rfam family "Bacterial small subunit ribosomal RNA", at positions 355 to 700 of the family's 1533-position model. Lineage: Bacteria; Pseudomonadati; Bacteroidota; Bacteroidia; Bacteroidales; Prevotellaceae. The record is from RNAcentral.
UGAGGAAUAUUGGUCAAUGGGCGGAAGCCUGAACCAGCCAAGUAGCGUGCAGGAUGACGGCCCUAUGGGUUGUAAACUGCUUUUAUGCGGGAAUAAUGUCAGACACGUGUGUCUGCUUGCAUGUACCGCAUGAAUAAGGACCGGCUAAUUCCGUGCCAGCAGCCGCGGUAAUACGGAAGGUUCGGGCGUUAUCCGGAUUUAUGGGUUUAAAGGGAGCGUAGGCCGCUGUUCAAGCGUGUCGUGAAAUGCGGUUGCUCAACAAUCGCACUGCGGCGCGAACUGUCCGGCUUGAGUCAAGUGGAAGUAGCGGAAUUCGUGGUGUAGCGGGUGAAAUGCUUAGAUAUCAC